CUCAGCAUUUAGGCUGCUCAUCAUCAAUCCUGCCUGAUCUUAGAAGCUAAGCAGGNUCAGCCCUGGNCAGUAUCUGGAUGGGAAACCACCUGGGAAUACUAGGUGCAGUUGGCU
Molecule: ribosomal RNA, 114 nt
Filed under: Salvator merianae (Argentine black and white tegu)
Lineage: Eukaryota; Metazoa; Chordata; Lepidosauria; Squamata; Teiidae
Source: RNAcentral